UGCCAGCAGCCGCGGUAAUACGGAGGGGGUUAGCGUUGUUCGGAAUUACUGGGCGUAAAGCGCACGUAGGCGGAUUAGUAAGUUAGGGGUGAAAUCCCGGGGCUCAACCCCGGAACUGCCUCUAAUACUGCUAGUCUUGAGUUCGAGAGAGGUGAGUGGAAUUCCGAGUGUAGAGGUGAAAUUCGUAGAUAUUCGGAGGAACACCAGUGGCGAAGGCGACUUGCUGGACUGUAACUGACGCUGAGACGCGAAAGCGUGGGGAGCAAACAGGAUUAGAUA
Molecule: ribosomal RNA, 279 nt
Filed under: uncultured bacterium
Lineage: Bacteria
Description: partial 16S ribosomal RNA
Rfam family: Bacterial small subunit ribosomal RNA
Source: RNAcentral